CUAUUAUCCUCCCAGUCCACAACGCUGAACCGUGGCUGGAUGAAUGUUUGAGGUCUGUUUUGCAACAGGAUUUUGAAGGCACCAUGGAGCUGUCUGUUUUCAACGAUGCCAGUAAGGACAAGUCUGGGGCUAUCAUUGAAAAAUGGAGAGUGAAGCUGGAAGAUUCCGGUGUCCACGUGAUCAUUGGGGGGCACGAUUCUCCUUCUCCCCGAGGCGUUGGAUACUCUAAAAAUCAAGCAGUUGCCCAGAGCUCAGGGUCUUACCUUUGCUUUUUGGAUUCGGAUGACGUCAUGAUGCCCCAGCGGGUGAGGCUGCAACACGAGGCUGCCGUUCAGCACCCGUCGAGCUUGCUGGUUAGUGGUUACGUGAAUUACAUUGUGUAGUUUGUCUUGAGAGAAUGAAAUAAAUGCUGAGAUACUUGUA
RNAcentral lists this small RNA (423 nucleotides) under Pongo abelii (Sumatran orangutan). RNAcentral describes it as "processed transcript". The record is from RNAcentral. Lineage: Eukaryota; Metazoa; Chordata; Mammalia; Primates; Hominidae.